RNAcentral lists this unclassified non-coding RNA (278 nucleotides) under Cercophora sp. RNAcentral's name for it is "partial contains 5.8S ribosomal RNA, internal transcribed spacer 2, and large subunit ribosomal RNA". The stretch from base 1 to 71 matches the Rfam family "5.8S ribosomal RNA", at positions 84 to 154 of the family's 154-position model. Lineage: Eukaryota; Fungi; Ascomycota; Sordariomycetes; Sordariales; Lasiosphaeriaceae. The record is from RNAcentral.
GUGAAUCAUCGAAUCUUUGAACGCACAUUGCGCCCUGUAGUAUUCUACAGGGCAUGCCUGUUCGAGCGUCAUUUCAACCCUUGGACCCAGUCCAGUGUUGGGGCCUUGCGCUGCAAGCCCUGAAAAACAGUGGCGGGCGCACUGCAUCCCGAGCGUAGUAACUCUUCUCGCUAUGGGCAUCCAGUGCUGUCCCUGCCGUAAAACCCCUACUGUCAAAAGGUUGACCUCGGAUCAGGUAGGAAUACCCGCUGAACUUAAGCAUAUCAAUAAGCGGAGGA